This is a long non-coding RNA of Neofelis nebulosa (Clouded leopard), 2135 nucleotides long. RefSeq lists it as uncharacterized. The record is from RefSeq and is a predicted model, not a curated record. The transcript has 5 exons. Lineage: Eukaryota; Metazoa; Chordata; Mammalia; Carnivora; Felidae.
AGGUGCAUGGGGACCGCUGCCAGACCCCGGGGCGAGCUGGUAGAGGCGGGGCGGAGAGUGGCUUCCGCGUACUUUUUCCCUUGAGGGUGGAUUCUCCGGGUGAGGAAGGACACAGGGAGUGUGUGUCUUGCCUUCGCUGCCUCCUCCUCCUUCCCUCAAUAUCCUCUUGCUAAGAGGAGGUUCAUCAUCUUCGCCUUCAUCAUUGCAUCCAGCAGCUGUCACUGCCAGUGCCACGUGCCUCGUAAGGUAGGGGAGUGGCAGACGACCUCUUUCUGCCCCUCUUCGCCCUUCCUCGCAGUGUUUCCCGCCUCCCCCCACCACCCCCCGCCCCCGAAUUUCCUUAAUAAAAAGUGGCUGGCAAAGCAGAAACAAACGCACGGUGGGGAAAGAUCUUGCAUUGUCGGGGAAGGAUACGGAUGGAGUGUAAUGGUUCUUUCUCUACAGCCAUGAAAGAGGCUGACACCUGCACACACAGGAACGACUUAAAAUAGAACUUGUCAAACAGUGAUCCGCUCUGGAUGGAGCUCCGAACAACAAACAGCUCUUGAACUCGCCUACCAGCCUAAAAAGGCUGCACUGUGUGACACUAAGGGUAGUUUGCUGCGAACCACAAACCCCACAUUUUAAAAAUCCCUUGCAGUCUUCAGAGAGAGACAGAGCAUGAGCAGGAGAGGGGCAGAGAGAGAGGGAGACACAGAAUCCGAACGAGGCUCCAGGCUCUAAGCUGUCAGCACAAAUGACGCGGAGCUCGAACUCCUGGAAUGUGAGAUCAUGACCUGAGCCGAAGUCGGGCGCUCAACCGACCGAGCCACCCCAGCUCUCAACAUUUAUGCUCCAUAGGAAGCAGAGAUACUUAUGGAAUGAAAAUAAGGACAAAUAAGACUUUCUCCAAAUAUCCUGGGAUGAAGGACACUGAAGGAAAAUUGUCAGAUGAGGUUCUGCUGCAGUAGUGGACCCUUCAUCCUACAUGACUGGUGUCCUUCCAAGAAAGGGAGAGAGAUCCAUGGAAGAAGGCAGCUCCGUGAAGACAGAGGCAGAGAUUGAAGCAGCUGCAAGCCAAAAGACCCCAAGAGUGAAUCUCUAAGAGUUUCAGAAGGAGCACGGCUCUGCCGACACCUUGAUUUUGCACUUCCAAACUUCUGAACUGUCAGCUGGAGGUUGGGCUUGGCUGGAGUGGCUCUGCUUCAAGUGUCUUUCAUGCUCCUUAUACCAGCAGGACAGCUUCGGAGCAUAUUUUUCACAUAUCAGUGGAAGAGCCAUGAGAAGGCAAGUGGAAAGGUGUGAAGUUUUUUAAAGUCUAAACUGGGGACUGGCUCACACCUACUUGCAGCCAUGCGUCACUGGUCAGAGCAAGUAACAUGGUAUAUUAGUUUCUAGGGCUUCUGUAACAAAGUAUCAGAGACUAGGCAUCUUAAAACAAUGGCAGUUUAUUUUCUCGCAGUUCUGGAGGCCAAAAGUGCCAAAUCAAGGUGUUGGCUUGGGUUGAUUCCUUCUGAAGGCCGUGAGGGAAAAGUUUGUUCCAGGCCUCUGUCCUUGGCUUGCAGAAAGCCAUCUUUCUACUCACAAAUUGUUCUCCUUGUUCACAUGUCUGUCUUCAAAUUUCCCCUUUUUAUAAGGAUACUAAUCAUAUUAGAUUAGGGCUCACCCAAUCAUUUUAACUUGAUUACCUCUUUAAAGACCCUAUCUCCAAAUAAAGUCACAUUCUGAUAUAUUGGGAGUUAGAACUUCAACACAUGAAUUUUUUUGUUGGGGCAGGAGAGAGGCCACAGUUUAACCCACAAUAUACAUUCAAGCUCAAAGUAAAGGGCUUAUAAACCCUCCUACAAUGAAGACAUGACAAGAGUAUGAAUGUAGGAAGGGGUGAAGAAUGGGAGUGAGUCUUAAUAGUAUAAACUUCAUUUUUUUUAAGUUUAUUUAUUUAUUUUGGAGAGAGAGAGAGCAUAAGCAGGGAAGGGGCAGAGAGAGAGAGAGAGAGGGAGAGAGAGAGAGAUUUCCAAGCAGGCUGUGUGCUGUUGGUGCAGAGCAAGACGUGGGGCUUGGACUCACAAACUGUGAGAACAUGACCUGAGCUGAAAUCAAGAGUGGGAUGCUUAACUGACUUAGCCACCCAGGCAUCCCAGUAGUUUAAACUUUAA